RNAcentral lists this long non-coding RNA (34429 nucleotides) under Manihot esculenta (cassava). RNAcentral describes it as "long non-coding RNA (MESC_LNC005798)". The record is from RNAcentral. Lineage: Eukaryota; Viridiplantae; Streptophyta; Magnoliopsida; Malpighiales; Euphorbiaceae.
UUUUUUUAAAAAUUACUUUUCUAUCAACGAGGUCUAAAAUUGGAAGAUUAAGAUUAAAAUGAAACUAUAAUUUUGUGUUUAUUAUUUUAUCCAACUUGUAAUCUAACUGUUUAAAUUAAAGAUGUUAAAAAUUAAUAGCUAGAAUUUAAUUUUACCAAUUUUUUUAAUAAAAAGCAUUUAUUUUUUAUAUUUUAAUUUUAAAAAUAGAGGAAUAUAACUAUAUAAAAUUUAAAAUAAAAGUUAUUAACGAAAACUAGUUUUAUUUUUAAAGAUUGUUAAUUAAAAAAUAAAAAAAUAAACGAGUUGAAAGUAUUAUUUAGAUAACUAUGGCUAAGAUUAUGAUCAGUACUUAAAAAUGGAAAAGCAAGAAUCUUGAAAAUCAAUUUCAGUUGAAUUGGAUUCCAACAAAUUCUGCAGCAUUCUCAAAAUAAAUACAUGCCAAAUGAUGCAAAAACAGAGUUCUUCCGUGCAAUGGACUGAUAAUAGAAAAAAAAGACUGAAAAUCAGGCAUUUUAACAAGCACAUCUGAACAUGAACACAUUCAGCACAUUCCUCUCAAUCAUCUCAAAGAUGCAAAUAUCUCCAGCUUCCAGACAAUUUUCCCUUGCAAAUGCUGUCCAACCACGAGCUAACGAAGCUAUUCGCCUAUUUGAAUACACAUUCAACUUUACAGGCCAAGAUUUUUCAGCAACAUGAAGCAUCAGAAUCUGUGAUUCACACUUCAUAUAUCUCCUGAUCAAACUGAAGGGAACGUUCUGCAAAAAUUGAAAAUUCAAUACACAUUGCUGGAGUUUAUGAUGUUCUUCACUGGAUAAACCAUCAAGAUCAAAUCAAACAAUGGUGUUCUUCUAAUGGUUUGAUAUUUAUAAAUGCCAUACCACAUCAAGAGUUCGCCUUAAAAGAACCUUGAAGAAUGGAUAGUUAGAGAUGAAGUUGUUGGCAGCUUGAAGAGCUCCACAAGUUUUUGCCGAUUUAGGCCUUUCAAUCUGCCAAUUCCUACCCUUCGCAGCCAUGACUUGUUUCUGCUUUUCUAUAUUAAAGAAAAGAAAAAUUUACUAUUCAGUUUCUGUAAUGUAUAAAAACUUAUUAUUUUGACUAUCAAAUUUUGAAAAAUAUAUUACAAGGCUUUUUUAAGUUUUAAAAAAUUUACUAAAUGGUUCAUUUUUUUUUAAUUAGAAAUUUGCAGGAAAUCUCAAGCUUAUACCUUUGGAUUGGUUGCCACUCCUGGUUGUAUGAAGAUAAAUGAUAUCUUGAUCACCAUCUUCUUGUUUCUUGGGCAAUGGUGAGUUUCCAUCAAAGUUUAGCUUCCCUGAAUACUCAAUCUCUACAGCGCUCUCAUCAAAUAUAAACACAUGCAAAUGGCUAUCUCCCUUGUAUUCAAAAACUAAGAAAUGCCCAUAUUUCAGAGAAUGAUUCUCGGAAAAUUCCGGCCAACCCUUUUCUAGCCAAACAUCAUUCCCAUUUUUCAGUAAAUCUACUUUCCAUGAGUUGCCUGUGGGAUCUGUAAGGGUUACUGGACUAGAUAAACAAUUUCCAUAAUCUUUCACAAACUUUGUGGGAAUCCCCUGUUAAAAGAAUCAGAAAAUGGGUAUUUUUGUCUAGAUUAAGACCAAAAGAUUAUGGUAAUACUGCUAAAGAUUAUAACAGAAACCCAAGAAAAAAUAAAGAAGAUUAUGAUCAAAAGUAAUAAGGAAGAUGGAAAGAAGCUUACAAGUUUUCCCUCGCGGAUAGUAUUUUCAAGGAUUAUCUUGAAAAAUCUUGUUGGUUUUCUUCUAACAGUGAAGAUCUCAUCCUGGGAUUUGCCUGCAAGUGAAGUCAUUGUGGAACAGAGCAAUCUCGAGAUUCUGUGUUUAUGCAGCAGAGCUUCUCUGAAAUCUUCUUGAUAAAGGAGUAACUGUUAAUUACUCAGUAAACGCAGCUUUAGGACUAAGGGGAGAAGACAGAUACUAGCAAUACUCACUUUUUCCAAGUAACUGUUGACAUUCUUCGUGCUAGUAUUGGUUGAAUUGUAUAUCUAUUUAAAGAUUGAGAAAUAUAAUAAAUACAUUUUAACUAAUAGAUGAAGAAUAUCAGACAGUCACCUAUUGCUAAUAUUUUUCAUGAUAGAAUUAAUCCUUUUAUCUAAAUGUCAGAGGUAACAUAAUAUGCGAGACGAUAUAUUUUAGAGAUAAUUAUUAUCGAAUUUCUAAAUUUUAAAAUAAAAUGACUAUAUAGUAUAAAUAUUUAAAAUUAUAAGUCUAAAUAAUAUAAUGUUAUAAUUAAAACUGUAAGACUAAAAAUUAUAAAUAGUUUAAUGUAAUUAUCGGUUUUUUAAAAUAGGAAUAAAUUAAUUUAUAAAAAUUUUAGAAACUUGAUAGUAAUUUACCUUAUAUUUUAUGUAUUAAUUAUUUAAUAAAACUCAUAUCAAAGAAAAACACUAAACUAAUUAGAUUCCAUUGUUUGGGAAAAUAAAUUGGAUUUAGAAAAUUUUUUUAUUGAAAAUAUUUUUUAAUAAAAUUUUAAAAAUAUUCAAAAAUAUUUUUUUUAAUUAAAAAAAUAUUUUCUCCAGACAAAUAAAGCAAUUGAACUUUUGUCGAAUUACCUUUAAGUAUUAAUAUAAAUUUGUGCAGAUUUAUCGAUAUUUUAUUAGGUAUAAUAAAUAAUUACAACUUAUUUUAAAAUAACUUUAAAAAAAAAUGUUAAAUGUGCAUUUGUCAUCCAAAUAGAACACCCCUUUCCAAUGAGAAAACUUUUCUGCGGCCCAAUUGCCCAAAUCCACCAGUGUCUCCAUUUAGACUUUGCUAAAUAGCAAAAGGCAACCAAAUAACAAAGAAAAUCAAAAGCAACCAACAAAAUCAAACCCAAAACUACACCCCAACAUACCAUCAUAUAAUUUGCUGGUAAACAUCACACCAAAAGGGUAUCUCUCAUCCGUGAAUCCAAUCCAUAAAUAUUAUGAGACACGCUUCAAGAGGCAAAUUCUAGGUUCAAAUCAUAUAAACAUAACAUUAGUUACCCACAUAAUAUGGGCUUGUCCAUUAUAUGGAAGAUAUCCUACAUUCAAUUUGAUCGGCUUCUAAUAACAUCAAGACCCAUUUCUGUAGGAUCAGUAGCUUGCAACUCUACCUGAAUACCAUCCAACUCCCUCUUGAACCUGUCCUUGGAGCUUGCAUAAAUCAUCUUGCUUCUCACUUUUGAUGCAUCAGGGGACCUUCACAAGCAAGGACCAUAAAUAAAACAGAAAAUCAUAAAAGCAAAACUGUAUAAUAACCAUAUGGAGGAAAAAGAAAAAGAGCACGUUUGCAUGUAUGCAUGUCCAUUUACCAUGCAAUAAAGACAAUCCUACUCUUCUGGCAGUUCUCCUCUGUCACAUAAUCGAAAUCAUAGACAGCAUAUCGGCACUCGUCGGCAGGAAGGCUUGCUGUGAAUUCCUCAUAGCUAUUGGUUGGCUCACCAAGCUUCUCCACAAUCACCUGUUUCUGCUUCUCCUCAAUCUUGAAAACAAUGAAGCGAUAAGUCCUCUUUGCCUUCAAUUCUAAAAACUUCAGCUUGCAGUCAUCAUGCACAGCCAUCCCAGAUGCUGCGUUGGCCUGAAAACAGAAACAAAUACUAAUAUACUGGGAACAACAGAAACAUUAAUGCCAUAAAUGGUUGGAAAUCCACAUUCUUUACACCAGAUACAAACAAACAUUAGUCAGGAAAUAGUAUAAGAACUUGAACAGUGACAAAGUCCAAAGUUGCAUAGAUUAGGCUUCAUUAUUUGCUUAGUUUUGUUUUACAACGUGGAUACAGAUCUUUGAUUUGAUUUGUGUCCUUUUCGUGCACCCAACUCAGCAACAUCCACUUAAUCCACACUUCAACUUGCGUUCGCAUUCUGAUACAAGAAUUAGGAGUUCACAUACUUCUUUUACUUAUGAGAUUCAGCUUGUAAUCUUGGUUGUCUACAGAAGUCAUUUUUCCCCCGAUACAAUUCUCAGAUAAAUCACACUUUUCUUCAAGCAAAAAUUUAUUGGUGUGAUCCUAGUCCACCAGCAGCAUAAAAUUUUAAUAUCUCUGUCCAAUAAACAGCAUCCACAAAUAUAACGAAAGCAUAGAACUUUUAACACUAGAAUACACUUCAUUUCAGUUUCAGCCUUUCAGGCUACCCCUAAAAAAGCUAGCAUAUAUUUUACAGUUCACAAUAGUAAGAUCCUUGACUCAAAAUCAUUUCAUUUCCAAAUUAUCAUGAAUUUUCAUUUUCUCCCGUGACCGAAAGAAAAAAUAAAAAAAAAUCAAAUUGUUUGAUCUUUGUAAAUUUACCCAAUUUAGUAAAAGAAAAACUUCAGAAAGGGAAAGCUUUACCUUUCCUAAAACUUUCACUGCCAAUCCUAACGUCUAACAGUAUCACCAUCACUAUCAUCCACUAAACCAUUAAAAAUUAAAUUUAGUGAAUAAUUAUAUGAAUGGAGCAAUCAAACCACGUGGAAGAGUCAACUAAAAUAAAAUAAAAUGAAAAUUUUAACAAGGCAAACCAACAAAAUCUUCGGAAAUUGGGGAAACCAAUUAAAUACUUUACUUUUUAUUUUUUGAGAAAAAAAGGGGGUUAAAGCAUAAAACAAAACCUAAAACUAAACAUUGCCUGAAAGAUAAACGUAUCAAUAGAAAAACAGCAAAAUCCAACACUAAACGGCAACCAAAGCACUACACUGCCUACAAAUGAAUAAUCGAAAAUCGACAUGGUUAUUUUCAUCAUCAGAAGCAAACGAUCCAAAUUACAAAGAUCAUCAAAUCAAGUAAUCAUCAUGUUCAUCAAAAACCAUUGGAAAAAACAAACGGAGCAAGGAUUUUAAAAUUGAAAUUAAGUAGCGCGUACAUAGAGUAAUAGGAGUCGCUUACCAUUUUCGCGAGAAAAUUAUAGGGCCGAAAAAGAGCGAGAAAAUCUAGGGCUCGAAAGAGAGAGAGAGAGAGAGAAAAAAAAGGAGGUGGCGAUGAUAAAACUUCAACUUGAAAAUGGGAAAGCCUCUCCUUUCUCUCACGUUUCGUAUGUGUGGAAUCUCUGCCAAGCUCGCAUCACGAUCACGGUCAAUGAUGGAAAAGUAUGCCACGUCUUGGGCGGUGAGGUUGGCGUGCGUGUCUCGUAAUGAGCCUGCUUCGUAGCUAGGCCAUUGUGGCGGUCCGACGUCGUUUAGGUUCAACAGUUAGUAAUUUUUUAAGAGUACAAUCGGUCGUUCUAAAUUCAACUCAUUCAAAAUAUAAUUUUUUAAUACAGUCAAUCGUUUUAAAUUCAGCUGAUUCAAAAUGAGAAAAAAUUGAGUAUUUUAUCUCAGCAUUAUAAGAAAGGUAUAAGAAAAUUUAUUAGUUAAUUUUUAAAUUUUAAAAAAUAUAUUAAAAUAUUUAUAAAAUUUAAAAAAUUAUUUAUUAAUAAAUCUUUUCAUUAUUUUAGAGUUAAAUAUUAAAAAAAAAUAUUUUCAAUAUAAAAAAAUUAAUUAAUAGGUAUUUUUAUAAAAUUAAUAAAUCAAUUAAUAAAUUUUUUUAUAUUAAAUAGUAAUAUAUUUAAAAAAAAAAAAUUAACCAAAAGAUCAAUUAUUAAAUUAUUAAAAUUUUAAUAUUUUAAUAUAUUUUUCUUUUAGACAUUUCUCCUUUGACUUCCAAGAUUUACGAGGAUUUGGUUUUUCUAUCCUUUCUCUUCAAGGAUUAUUGGUAGAACCUCCUUAUAACCUUACUAGAUAAUAGAAGCAAUAAAGAAUACGUUCAACUCAUUGUUAUAUUAAUGUGGAAUAUUUGGAAGAGUCGAAACUGUUUUCUUUUUAGGAAGAAUUUGUAGAGUGAGGAUUUUAUCAUUGUUUCAGCCACUUUCAUGCAAAAUGAUUUUAAGAAGAACAACGAAAGUACUGAAUCUUGCUUUUGGCAAGUACCACCAAUCAAUUUUUUUAAAACUAACUUUGACGUAGUUUUGGAUUCAAUGAAUUGUAAGAGAGCCUUUGCAGUACUCAUUAGGACGUGGAAUUAUCCUUCAUAUCUCUAGUCCCUUGCAUCUUGAAAUUUAGGGUGCAGGGAAUCUCUCCUCUUUGUUAAGAACAGGGGCUUAAGGUGCAUUCAGGUUGAAAGUGAUUGCAAGAAUCUUGUCUCAAGUCUUUUAGAGAAUCUUGUUUCUAUCAACAUCAAUGCGAUGAUUAAAAAUAUUCAGGAGUUGAGCAAAACUAUAGAUUCUAUUGAUUUUCUAUUUGUAAAAUGUUCAUGUAAUAGUGUUGCUCAUAACCUGGCAUAGAAAACUCUUCACUCUGCUUUUUUUUUUUUUUGUCGGGAAUCCUAUAAAUCAGUUGUACUUUAUUAAGGGUUUAAUCGCUUCUUAAUACAAUCAUAUUUUAUCUUCAGCAUAAAAAUAUAUAUAUUUUUUGAAAUUUCAUAUAAUACAUAAAAUAAAAAUAUAAGACUAAUUAACGCAAAAAAAUUCAAUGUUUACGUGUAUUUGUAUUUUAAUUUAUAUAUUUUAAUUUUGGUUUAAUUAGCUCAACAUUUAUAUUUUGUUGCAACUUUAGUCAAUUUGUAAAUUUUAAAAUUUAAUAGUCUAUGUGGCAAUCUAAUAGUCUAACUGAUAUGUCACGUAAAUUAUUUUUAUUAUUUUUUAAUUAGUCAUUAAUUAAAAAAAUCUAACAUUCAUAUCAUUUUGUAUUUUAAUUUAAAUAUUUAAAUUUUGAAUAAAUUAGUCUAACGUUUAUAUUUGAAUGUAAUUUUGGCUAAUUUUUAAAAUCAAAAUUAAUAUAUAAUUCACAUCUCAACAGUGAUAAUUUUAUUUUACAUUAAUAAUUAUGAAUAUUUUAUAACAGACAUAUUUUUAAUUUAAAAUAACAACAUAUAUAAAAUAAUUAAAAAUAAUAUAUUUAUUAUUAAAUUUUUAUAAUUAUAAAUACAAAAUAAAAUCUAUCCAUUGUUGAAUCUGUCUAUAUUUAACACUUAAAUUGCUAUUACUUUUAGAAUUAAAUAUAUCAUUUACUAUAGUUAAGUAUGAGUUAAUAUUAUUUUCAUAUAUGAAAUUAAUUUAUAUUUAAAAAAUAAUAAAAUAUUACAUUUGACAUUCUAUCGGAACUCUUACAUUUUAAUUUUUUGAAAUUGAUUAAAAUUAUAUUCAAAUGCAAACGUUGGCCCAAUUUAUCUAAAAUUUAAAUAUUUAGAUUAAACGUAAAAUAAUAUAAACGCUGAUUCAAAAUUUAAACAUUUGGAUUAAACGUAAAAUAAUAUAAACGCUAGGUCUUUUUAGUCAUUUGAUCAUUAGUUUAUAUAAAUAAUAAUAAUAAUAAUAAUACACGUAAUGUGUCAGCUAGAUUAUCAAAUUGUCACAUAAAUUAUUAAAUUUAGAAAUUUAUAAAUUAACUAAAAUUGCACCAAAAUGCAAAAGUUGGCACCAAUUAAAUUAAAAUUAAAACGUUUGGAUUAAAAUGCAAAUAUGUGCAAACGUUGGGCCUUUUUAAAAUAAUUCACCAAAAUAUAAUUAUUUAUAACUCUCCAUACCAUGAAGUCCUCGCUUUUUCCUUCCUACACAUGUUCUUAUUGUUUAUCCAAUUCAAUUAGCGAUAUUAAACUUACAAUUCGAAUUAUAAUAAAAUACAUCCAAAAUUCAAGCCACAUAUUUAAUAAACUCCAUUCAAAAUACAACCAUUUUAGCUAACACUACAAAAGGGGAGGGGAGGGUUGGGUUUGCCGGCGAUUUCAUUUAGGCGAUCUUAUCAAUCACCUCAAUGAUCAUAUCCUUUAUAAAAAGUGGCAAUGAAUAAAUGCGUUUUUUAGUUUCGCCUCUUUGUAGGAGCGGGUGAUAGAGUCCAAAUGAAAUAUGUUGCAAUUAACUUUAUAUUCGCUAAAUGAUUCGUACUAAAGGCAGUUUAUAAAUUUUGCCAUAAUAUUUGAAAAUUUGGAGCAAAAUUUGUGUUUUCUCAAUCGCGCUCAAAAGAAAAUAAGAUAGGAAGAAAAAUCAACUGUCGAUCUCUCUCUCACUCUCUCUGUUUUUGGGUUCUCCUAAUUUUACUAGGUUUUCUCUAUCAAAUUGCACUCUAUAAAUUGUUUUCUCUUAAUUCUGCUUUUCUACACUCAAUUUUGCUGGGAGAAUGACUUGAAAUCAAAGUGAAAUGCUCAUUUCAAUCUUCUUAAAGGUAAGUAAGUAUCAUAAGUUCUGAUACAAACAUGCAAUUAAAUGACCCUUUUUUUCUUGUUAUUCCCAUUGGUACUCUGUUGAUGCAAAAGAUUUUGAAACCCAUCUAUCGUGACCUAAAAUUUGAAUGGGUGAAAAAAAAAUUAUAUAUGGGUUCAUUCCAUUAUAUUGAUUGGUGUCUAUAUUUUUUCUCUUAUUAUUAUAUGACGUUGAAUAAUUAAUAUUUACUCUACUAAUAUGUAAAUCAAGUCUAUUUUACUAUAUGACACAAAAUAGUGGCGUGGUUCAUACUUCAAAAAUUGGACGGAUGAACUACUAUGGUAAGCUUGCAAUGUCUUAGAAUUAAAUUAUUAUGAUAAUUUUAAGGUCAUACUAUUUAGAUGUGAUUGGUUUGACGUUUAUUAUAGUGCAUGCAUUAAACAAGAUGAAUUUGGGUUUACCUUGAUAAAUUUUUCUCGCUUAAUCCAUAUUGGUGAGAAACUGAAUGACGAUCCUUAUGUAUUCUCCUCUCAAGUUGUGCAAGAUGAGACCAUAAAGACAAUAUUCAAAAGGAACAUGGAGAAGAUUGUUCAGGUUAUAAAAUUCUCAUAAUAUGGUUUAAAGUUAAUAAUUAUUUUCUCAUGAUUUCUAUUACUAAUUUGCGUUUAUUAAAUUUUGAUUGUACAGAUAAGAUUUUUAUGUCCACCUGAAACUAAGAGCUGGAUUUUAAAAUCUUUAAUAAGAAAUGAAGAUAUUUUAAAUGUGACUUGAAGGCACAAUAUUAUGAUCCACACAAGCCUAAAGAACAUAUUAUAGAAAAUGUACCUGAAAAUGUUGUGGAAGAACAAUGGCCUACUCUUGUUAAUGGAUGGUUUAUUGUGGAGAGUCAAGUAACUUAUUCAUGUCAAUAUUUUUUGGUAUUGCAUGAUGUAAUGUAUAUAUAUAGCAAUUGAGUGUUAGAACAAAGAAAUAAAAGAAUGCUCACACAUAAGAAAAGAAAGAGAAAGAAAAUGAUAAGUAUUUAUCGAUAUGCUUAUUAAUUAUCAAUAUCAUGCUUAUUAACAUAGUUUAAUUUUCAUAUUUUGUUAAAUGGUAAUAACUUUUACUUACAGGAAAAAUAACUUGGAAAAGUUUCAGAUAGACUUACAUUUUUUUAGGCAACUCACAAGAAAAAAGAUGGAACAUGUGUGGAUGAGAAUAUAAAGUAGCUGAUGGUAUUAUUCAGUUUAUCUACUUAACUACUUCUCUUUUUUUUUCUUUAAAAAAAAAAAAGACAUUUUCUCUUUUUUAAUUGUUAUAUAUUUAACCGUAUAGGAGAAGGCACAUGCACUUAUAGCUGAACAAAUCGAAAAUUCUCGCAUCGACUUAAAUGAAUUAAAUGGAAGCAUUUUUCAAGCAUAAUGGUUAUGUGCGAGCUUUAGGUUUAGAACCAACACCUAGAAACUAUUUUAGUGUGACUUUUUACAAUGUAAAAUCUAGGUGGGAGGAUUCCACUAACUCAAGUAAAUGUGAAUUAUUAGAUGAAAUUGUUCAUACUUUGCAUGAAUUUCUAUCUCAAAUGUUUUAUGGGUAAACUGUAAGUAGGUACAUGCGUUUUGUAUUUAAUUAGUUGAGUUUUGUGUUAUAUUUUCAAUUAAUUUAAAUAAUUAUAUUAAAAUUAUAGUAUUAAUUUACUUAUAAUGAAAUAGACUUUGAUAAAAUACAUUAAAAUUCAUACUAUCUAAAUUUAAAAGUAUAUAGAAAAUUAUCAAUUAAUAAAUCACCUUGUGUUUCAAUUAUUUAUAUUCCUUAUGCUUUACAUAGAAAAUAUCAAUGCAUGACCUCCAUUAUAUAUUUGUUUUUCUCUUUUCAUACACUUUGAAAAAAGAGAUACUAAUCCAUUUUGCCUUAUAAAGAUACAAAUUAAUUAAUUUUUUUGUUAAAUAUUGUUUAUUGGUAUUAUGUAUAAUAUAUAUUAAAAAUGAAGUUAUCAUAUUUUAAAAUUUUUUAAAAAUUCUUAACCUUUUAUUUUUGUGUUAUUAAUAGGUAAAUGAUGACAGUAGCUAGAGGAUUAUUUGAAAUGUAUAUAUUAUUGUAAUUACAAUUAUUUUGGCGCCAAAAAUAUUCAUGGAUGAUUAUAACUGCCUCAAUUAUAAAUUCAAAUUAAUAAUAAAAAUGAUGGUUUAAUAUUAUAGAGGCAGUUUGAGUUGCUAUAAAUAACAGCAGAAAUGUGAUUUAAGUUGCCAUAAAUAAUAGAGGGAAUCUGGAUAAAGGCAGUUUAAACCGUCUCUAAAAUUAUGAAUGCAAAUAAAUAAUAUAAGUAAUGAUUUAAUAUACUAGAGGCGGUUUGAGUUGUCAUAAAUAGCAGUGGGAAUCUGCAUAAAAGCGGUUUAAACUGUCUCUAAAAUUAUUAAAUGCCUUGAGGUGGUUAUUAUUUUGGUACUAAAAAUAUAAACUAACUAUUCUAACGGCCUCAACCAUUAAUUGAAACAAAUAAUAAAUAAGAAAUUUCAAUAUGUCAGAGGCGGUUAGAAUUACCGCAAAUUAUGGUAGGAAUUUAUAUAAGGCAGUGUAAACUGUCUUUAAAAUUAAUUGAUUUAUAUUUUUUCUAUAAAUAAAAUACAUUUAGAGUCAUUUUUAAACACCUCUAAAAUUUUAUGUAUGACAGUCAAGUCUAUUACUAAUAACCGUUCCUAAUAAAAAUAUACAUACGACGAUUGACAAAAACGCUGCAACAUUAUAAAGCUCACAUCUAUAACGAUGCUCAUAUGGCGAUUCGUUGAUCCGCUAUGACAACCACCCCUAAAAGAUGGAAAAAUCGCCGGUGUAAUGAGGAAAUAAUUUAAUGGAGGAUGAUGAAAUCUCAAAUUUGAGUAGCUAGUCAGAGAGUAAUUUAACUAAAAAUAAUAAAUAUCUCACAUUUGAGUAAUUUCUAGAAUUUUAGUUAUGUUGUCCAUAAUUAUUAUUUUAAAUCCAUUUUACUUUCUUGAAUUAAAAAAAUCUUAAUAUAUUUAAUGCAGAAUUGGAAAGUAUUUAAUUUAUUUCCAAAUUAUUUAGAAAUUUUAAAUUUUUUCCUCCCCUUAUAUAAUUAGGUCAUCUAACCUAUACUACAAGAUCAUCAUUUAACAAAACCUCUCAACCUCAUCAUCUUUCUCUGAGAAAAAUGACCAAAUUUGCUAUCUUCUUGCUGUUUCUUCUCCACUGUUUCCUCUUCAUUUCAGGAAUGGCUAAACAAGACUCCAUCUCUCAAAGCGCAAGGAUACAAAAUGCAAAGCAGGUGGUGAAAGCUUCAUUUUCAGCAGCUAUACGCACAGCCCAGGCCGCAAACUCCUUCGCCUCGAAAACAAGUCCGGCUGACCUAGGCGUCAAAGACUGUAUUGAACAAGUCAGUUCUGCGGUGGAUGAAUUCAACGACUCAAUCAAAGAGCUAGGUUUCUUGGGCGGCAGUGAUCAGCAAUGCAACGAUGAUUGCCAUUUAUCUAAUAUUCAAACGUAUGUAAGCACUGCUCUCACUGAUAGCUCGGAUUGUACAGAUGGAUUGGAUGAUGAGCUGAAGAAGCACAAAAGCAGUACAUUGGUGACGAUUAGGGCAAAGUAUGGUGGUUUGGAAAAUGCAGUAAAGAAUUCUUUAAGUCUGUUCUGCCAACAGUUUGGCAAAUGUAAAUGAAGCCUUAAUUAGUUUACAACAUGAAUUAGUAAGAGAGUUCUCUAAAUAAGAUAUAAGGAGGGUGGACCCAUGUAUAAGUGAGUGCAUGUAUAAUAAUCCCUUCCAAAAUAAAAAUUAUUCAGUGCAAAUUAUGAUUUUUUUUUCUUCUAAGGAGGCACAACCGGGAAUACAAUUGUUAGAUCAUACUAAACGAAUAUUCUCCUUAUCCAAUACUUUAAAAAUAGGUUUAAGAUAUCCGUAGUAAAUUAUUAUCUUUUUACCGUAAUCAUAAAUCAAUAAUAACAGUGUAAUCAUAAAUCAAUAAUAACAGUUUGAAAUCUGUCUCUAAGAGUAAGCAUUCGGUCGGUUCGAAUCAAAACUUUCUUUUUUUACCAUUCAAAAAUUCAUAGUUAUAUGAUUGUUACUUCAAAAUUAAUGUACUGAAUUUUCCUUCUUGUUGAAAAUCAUUCUUGUUAGACGUUUCAAUUAGAAACAAACAGGGGUUCUUGGAUGGAUCCAUUUCAAAACCUUCAACUGGAGAUCUAUUGUUUUUACUGUGGAUAAGAUGCAACAAUCUAUUAGUUGCAUGGUUGUUAAGAUCAGUUUCACCUCCAAUUGCAUUGACAAUCUUUUAUCUUGAAAAUGUUAAGCAAAUUUGGGACAAACUACACCAAAAGUUUUUAGAACCAAAUGAUUCAAGAGUCAAUCAUCUUCAACAACUAUUGUGCACUACUAUUCAAAAUAAAUCUCAAAUGCAUCGAUUGUUGCUCCUAUUUAUGAGAAUGUAAAUCUGUUUAAUCUUUCGAAAGAUCAAAUACAAAGACUGUUGGCUCUUCUAGGUGAUCAAAAAACUAGUAAUGUCUCCCCACAAGUUAAUAAGAUAUGUACAUACAAUUCCAAUUUCCUUUCUUCUUACUCAAAAUCAGUUCUUGAACCCUUGUCUAUAUAGAUCUUAGACACUGGUGCAACCGAUCAUAUCAUUUGCAAUCGUUCUUUAUUUAAUAAAUCUUCAUCUAUCUCAAAUCCUUUUGUAUAUCUGCCUAAUGGAAAAUUUCAAGUUAAAACUAUUGGUUCUAUGCAACUUAAUUCUAAGAUUUUGUUAUAGAAUGUUAUUUUUAUUCCAAGUUUCAGGUUCAAUUUGUUAUCAAUAAGUAAGCUUGUCACUGAACAACAUGUAUCUAUUCGUUAGUGUUCAUUUAGGCUAUCUUAUCAAUCGCCUCAAUGAUCAUAUCCCUUAUAAAAAAUGGCAACUGAGAAAGGCAUUUUUUAAUUUUGCCUCUUUGUAGGAGCGGGUGAUAGAGUCCAAAUGAAAUAUGCUGCAAUAACUUCAGAUUCGCUAAAUGAUCCGUACUUCACAAAGGCGAUAUAUAAAUUUUGCCGUAAUAUUUGAAAAUUUGUGUUUCCUCAAUUGCGCCCAAAAGGAAAUAAGAUAGGAAGAAAAAUAAACUAUCGAUCUCUCUCUCACUCUCUAUUUUUGGGUUCUCCUGAUUUUAUUAGAUUUUCUCUAUCAAGUUGCUCUUUGUAAAUUGCUUUCUCUUAAUUCUACUUUUCUACACUCAAUUCUGCUGGGAGAAUGACUUGAAAUCAAAGUGAGAUACUCAUUUCAAUCUUCUCAAAGAUAAGUAACUAUCACAAGUUUCGAUACAAACAUGCAAUUAAAUGACCCUUUUUUAUUCUUUUUAUUCCCAUUGGUACUCUGUUGAUGCAAAAGACUUUGAAACCCAUCUAUCGUGACCUAGAAUUUGAAUGGAUGAAAAAAUCAUAUAUGGGUUUAGUUUCAUUAUAUUCAUUGGUGUCUAUAUUUUUUCUCUUAUUAUUAUAUGAUGUUAAAUAAUUGAUUUUUACUUUAUUAAUAUGUACAUCAAGUCUAUUUUACUAUAUGACACAAAAUAGUGGCUUGGCUAACACUUCAGAAAUUGGAGGGAUGAACUAUUAUGGCAAGCUUAUAGAUGUGCUAGAAUUAAAUUAUCAUGAUAGUUUUAAGGUCAUACUGUUUAGAUGUGAUUGGUUUGACAUUUAUCAUAGUGCAUGCAUUAAACAAAAUAAAUUUGGGUUUACCUUGGUAAACUUUUCUCGCUUAAUCCAUACUGGUGAGAAACUUAACGACCAUCCUUAUGUAUUCUCCUCUCAAGUUGAACCAGAGUAUUAGGUGCAAAGUGGGACCUUUGAAUAUUGCAGGAUGGGCUAUAAAGAUUUUUCAAUAUUCAAAAGGAAAAUGGAGAAGAUUGUUCAGGUUAUAAAAUUCUCAUAAUAUAGUUUAAAGUUAAUAAUUAUUUUUUCAUGAUCUUUAUUACUAAUUUGCGUUUAUUAAAUUUUGAUUGUACAGAUAAGAUUUUUAUGUUCACCUAAAACUAAGAGUUGAAUUUUAAAAUCUUUGAAUAAAAAAUGGAGAUAUUUUAAAUGUGACUUGAAGGCACAAUAUUAUGAUCCAUGCAAGCCUAAAGAACAGAUUAUAGAAAAUGUAUUUGAAAAUGUUGUGGAAGAACAAUGGCCUGGCCUACUCUUGUUAAUGAAUGGUUCAUUGUAGAGAGUCAGGUAACUUAUUAAUAUCAAUAUCUUUUAAUGCAAAGAAAUAAAAGAAUACUCACACAUCAGGAAGGAAAGUUAUGCGAAAAAGAGAAAGAAAAUAGUAAGUAUUUGCUAAAUGGUAAUAACUUUUACUUACAGGAAAAAGAACUUGGAAAAGAUCCAGAUAAACUUGCAUGUUUUGAGGCAAUUCACAAGAAAAAAGAUGGAACAUAUGUGGACGAAAUGACAUUUUCUCCUUUUUAAUUGUUAUAUAUUUAAUCUUAUAGGAGAAGGCACAUGCACUUAUAGCCGAACAAAGCGAAAAUUCUAGCAUUGACUUAAAUGAAUUAAAUAAGAGCAUUUUUCAAGCAUAAUGGUCAUGUGUGAACUUUAAGUUUAGGACCAACACCUAGAAACUAUUUUGUUGUGACCUCUUACAAUGUAGGAUCUAGGUAGGAGGAUUCCACUAACUCAAAAUCAAUCAGAAGAGAUAACAAUGCUUAAACAAAAGUUGCAGUUCAUGACAAAUAAAUGUGAAUUAUUAGAUGAAAUUGUCCAUACCUUACGUAGAUUUCUAUCUCAAAUAUUUUAUGAGCAAACUGUGAGUUUUCAGAUACAUACUUUUUAUAUUUAAUUAGUUGAGUUUUGUGUUAUAUUUUUAAUUAAUUUAAAUAAUUAUAUUAAAAUUAUAGUUGAUAUAUAAAUUAAUAUAUUGAAUAUUAAUUCACAUAUAAUGAAAUAGACUCUAAUAAAAUACAUUAAAAUUCAUACUAUCUAAAUUUAAAAGUAUAUAGAAAAUUAUCAAUUAAUGAAUCACCUUGUGUUUCAAUUAUUUAUAUUCCUGCUUUACAUAGAAAAUAUCAAUGCAUGACUUCCAUUAUAUAUUUCUUUUGGGAAAAUUACUUUUUAGUCCCNNNNNNNNNNNNNNNNNNNNNNNNNNNNNNNNNNNNNNNNNNNNNNNNNNNNNNNNNNNNNNNNNNNNNNNNNNNNNNNNNNNNNNNNNNNNNNNNNNNNNNNNNNNNNNNNNNNNNNNNNNNNNNNNNNNNNNNNNNNNNNNNNNNNNNNNNNNNNNNNNNNNNNNNNNNNNNNNNNNNNNNNNNNNNNNNNNNNNNNNNNNNNNNNNNNNNNNNNNNNNNNNNNNNNNNNNNNNNNNNNNNNNNNNNNNNNNNNNNNNNNNNNNNNNNNNNNNNNNNNNNNNNNNNNNNNNNNNNNNNNNNNNNNNNNNNNNNNNNNNNNNNNNNNNNNNNNNNNNNNNNNNNNNNNNNNNNNNNNNNNNNNNNNNNNNNNNNNNNNNNNNNNNNNNNNNNNNNNNNNNNNNNNNNNNNNNNNNNNNNNNNNNNNNNNNNNNNNNNNNNNNNNNNNNNNNNNNNNNNNNNNNNNNNNNNNNNNNNNNNNNNNNNNNNNNNNNNNNNNNNNNNNNNNNNNNNNNNNNNNNNNNNNNNNNNNNNNNNNNNNNNNNNNNNNNNNNNNNNNNNNNNNNNNNNNNNNNNNNNNNNNNNNNNNNNNNNNNNNNNNNNNNNNNNNNNNNNNNNNNNNNNNNNNNNNNNNNNNNNNNNNNNNNNNNNNNNNNNNNNNNNNNNNNNNNNNNNNNNNNNNNNNNNNNNNNNNNNNNNNNNNNNNNNNNNNNNNNNNNNNNNNNNNNNNNNNNNNNNNNNNNNNNNNNNNNNNNNNNNNNNNNNNNNNNNNNNNNNNNNNNNNNNNNNNNNNNNNNNNNNNNNNNNNNNNNNNNNNNNNNNNNNNNNNNNNNNNNNNNNNNNNNNNNNNNNNNNNNNNNNNNNNNNNNNNNNNNNNNNNNNNNNNNNNNNNNNNNNNNNNNNNNNNNNNNNNNNNNNNNNNNNNNNNNNNNNNNNNNNNNNNNNNNNNNNNNNNNNNNNNNNNNNNNNNNNNNNNNNNNNNNNNNNNNNNNNNNNNNNNNNNNNNNNNNNNNNNNNNNNNNNNNNNNNNNNNNNNNNNNNNNNNNNNNNNNNNNNNNNNNNNNNNNNNNNNNNNNNNNNNNNNNNNNNNNNNNNNNNNNNNNNNNNNNNNNNNNNNNNNNNNNNNNNNNNNNNNNNNNNNNNNNNNNNNNNNNNNNNNNNNNNNNNNNNNNNNNNNNNNNNNNNNNNNNNNNNNNNNNNNAAGAAGAAGAAAAAGUUGCUGGGUAGGAAGAAGAAGAAGAAGAAGAAGAAGAAGAAGAAGAAAGAAGAAGAAGAAGAAGAAAAAGUUGCUGGGUAGGAAGAAAAAGAAGAAGAAGAGGGUUAAUUUUGUCGAUUCACGUGUCCCAAACGGCUAUUUUGGACGGAAUGACUACGAAUUUGGACGGAAGAGAAAGUGAGGGACUUAAGUGUUGGGUCGCCAAAAUAGAGGGACAGAAGUGUUAAUUACGUUAAACCUCAGGGACUACAAAGUAAUUUUCCCAUUUCUUUUUUCUCUUUUCAUACACUUUGAAAAAAGAGAUACUAAUCUAUUUUGCCUUAUAAAGUUACAUGUUAAUUAAUUGUUUUAUUAAAUAUUGUUUAUUGGUAUUAAUAUUCUAAGAUCCAGAGAAUAUGGUUUACAGUAUGAGUAUAAGUUUAGAUGGAGAGGAAGACGUUCCUCCCAUUUUAUCAUUUUUUCUUUUGUUUGCUAAUGACGUCUAACGGCCUCUCUGCUACAGUGUCAUCUGUCUCUGUCACUUAGAUCUGUACGUACGGACGCGUUAAAGCCUUUCUCCACACCAGACGGCCAUUUAAUUUCUCUCGGCGCACAUGUGGACAAAGCUGCGAAGUGAUUGGGCCUGCCUUGCCUACCUCCUGUCACAUCACCGGGCUGAGUUCCUAAAGGAUGGGCCUACGCGCAUGUCUGGUCUGGCCUGUUUCAUUUCUCCGAGUCGGGGUGCUCCGCUGGUUUGUUUAUGAGAAAAGCCCGAUGGGCUUUGGACCAGCAUCCUUCUCUUGGGCCCAACCUUGCCUAGGGUAGAAAAAGCCCGACAGUCAUUAGCUAUUAUGUGUAAUAUAUAUUAAAAAUGAAGUUAUCAUAUUUUAAAAAAUUUUAAAAAUCCUUAAUCUUUUACUUUUGUGCUAUUAAUAGGUAAAUGAUGGCAUUAGCUGGAGGGUGGUUUGAAAUGUAUAUAUUAUUGUAAUUACAGUUAUUUUAGCGCCAAAAAUAUUUAUGGGUGAUUUUAACUGCUUCAACUAUGUAUGCAAAUGAAUAAUAAAAAUGAUGAUUUAAUAUACUAGAGGUGGUUUGAGUUGCCAUAAAUAAUAACGGAAUCUGCAUUAAACCGCCCCUAAAAUUAUUAAAUGUGUUGGGGUGGUUAUUAUUUUGAUACCAAUAAUAUAUAUCAACUAUUGUAACCACCUCAACUAUUAAUUGAAACUAGCAAUAAAUAAGAAAUUUUAAUAUGCUAGAGGCAGUUAGAGUUACCGUAAAUUAUGGUGGGAAUUUGUAUAAGGGCGGUCUAAACUGUCUUUAAAAUUGAUUGAUUUAUCACUUAUUCUAUAAAUAAAAUACGUUUAGAGACAUUUUUAAACACCUCUAAAAUCUUAUGUACAGCGGUUAAGUCUGUCACUAACAAUCGCUCUUAAUAAAAAUAUAUAUCUGGCGGUUGAUAAAAACACUGCAAUGUUGUAAAGCCAGCAUCUAUAACGAUGCUCAUAUGGCGAUUCGUUUACCUGCUAUAACAACUGCCCCUGAAAGAUGGAAAAAUCAUCGGAAAAGCAUCAAUUUCUUGUAGUGUAAUGAGGAAAUAAUUUAAUGGAGGAUGAUGAACAUCUCAAAUUUGAGUACCUAGUAAGAGAGUAAUUUAAUUAAAAAUAAUAAAUAUCUCACAUUUAAGUAAUUUCUAAAAUUUUAGUUAUGUUAUCCAUAAUUAUUAUUUUAAAUCCAUUUUACUUUCUUGAUUUAAAAAAAAAAUACCAAAAAAGGAGAUAAAGUCAUAUUAUUAUGGUAACUAAGAUGUUUUCAAUGAAAGAAUUUCCAAAAUCUCAAGAUAUUUAUUGCAGAUUUGGUAAGUAUUUAAUUUAUUUCCAAAUUACUGAGAAAUUUUGAUUUUUCUUGGAUUCACCUACCAAUUAUAUAAUCAGGCAUUAACGAAUAUCCAAAAUCUUAAUAUAUUUAAUGCAGAAUUGGAAAGUAUUUAAUUUAUUUCCAAAUUAUUUAGAAAUUUUAAAUUUUUUCCUCCCCUUAUAUAAUUAGGUCACCUAACCUAUACUACAAGAUCAUCAUUUAACAAAACCUCUCAACCUCAUCAUCUUUCUCAGAGAAAAAUGGCCAAACUUGCCAUCUUCUUGCUGUUUCUUCUCCACUGUUUCCUCUUCAUUUCAGGAAUCGCUAAACAAGACUCCAUCGCUCAAAGCGCAACGAUACAAAAUGCAAAGCAGGUGGUGGAAGCUUCAUUUUCAGAAACUAUAAGCACAGCCCAGGCCGCAAACUCCUUCGCCUCGAAAACAAGUCCGGCUGACCCAGGCGUCAAAGACUGUAUUGAACAAGUCAGUUCUGCGGUGGAUGAAUUCAACGACUCAAUCAAAGAGCUAGGUUUCUUGGGUGGCAGUGAUCAGCAAUGUAACGAUGAUUGCCAUUUAUCUAAUAUUCAAACGUAUGUAAGCGCUGCUCUCACUUAUAGCUCGGAUUGUACGGAUGGAUUGGAUGAUGAGCUGAAGAAGCAAAAAAGCAGUACAUUGGUGACGAUUAGGGCAAAGUAUGGUGAUUUGGAAGAUGCAGUAAAGAAUUCUUUAAGUCUCUUCUGCCAACAGUUUGGCAAAUGUAAAUGAAGCCUUAAUUAGUUUACAACAUGAAUUAAUAGAGAGAGUUUUCUAUAUAAGAUAUAAGGAGGGUAGAUCCAUGUAUAAUUGAGUGCAUGUAUAAUAAUCCCUUCCAAAAUAAAAAUUACUCGCUGCAAAUUAUGAUUUUUUUUCUUCUAAGGAGGCACAAUGGGAAUAUAAUUGUUGGAUUAUACUAAAAGAAUAUUCUCCUAAUACAAUACUUUAAAAAUAGGUCUAAGAUGUCAGUAGUAAAUUGUUGUCUUAUAUAUUUUUACUGUAAUCAUAAAUCAAUAGUAACAGUUUGAAAUCCGUUGUAUCUACCUCUAAGAAUAAGUAUUCGAUCGGUUCAAUUCAAAACUUCUUUUUUUUAUCAUUCAAAAAAUCAUGGUUAUGUAAUUGUUAUUCCAAAAUUAAUGUACUGAAUUUUCCUUCUUGGCGAAAAUCGUUCUCGUCAGAUGUUUCAAUUAUAAACAAAUAAGGGUUCUUGGAUGGAUCCAUUUCAAAACCUUCAACCGGAGAUCCAUUAUUUUUACUAUGGAUAAGGUGCAACAAUCUGCUAGUUGUAUGGUUGUUAAGAUCAGUUUCACCUCCAAUUGCAUUGACAAUCUUUUAUCUUGAAAAUGUUAAGUAAAUUUGGGACAAACUACACCAAAGGUUUUCAGAAGCAGAUGAUUCAAGAGUCAAUCAUCAUCAACAAUUGUUGUGCACUAUUAUUCAAGGUACCAAAUCUGUUGACAUAUAUUUUACUGAACUAAAUAGAAUAUAAAAAGAGUUGAGAAUCUUUAGACCUUUAUCUUCUUGCAGUUGUGGAAAGUGUAAUUCUGAUUGUUUUCACAAGUUUAUUGAAAUCCAGCAAAAGGAUUACGUACUCAAGUUUUUAAAUGGAUUGAAUGACAACUAUCAAGGCUUGUCUUCACAAGUGAUCAAUAUGAAACCCUUUUUUACUCUGGAUUAGGCCUAUAAUAUAGUUUUAAGAGAAGAAACACAAAUAUCAUUAAUAUUGCAAACUCAAUAUUUUCCGGAAAUGGUUGCAAUGGCAGUUAAAAAGGCUAAAGCAAACCUCGUAUGUUUCCAUUCUGACAAAACUGGACAUGUAAAUGCUCAAUGCUAUAAGAUUGUUGAUUUUCCUGCUGAUAUCAAGUUCACAAGAUACAAGGGUAAUUGUAAUGGUGGUGGAGGAAAUUCUGGUAAAUUCUACAAGUCUGCAUAUGUUCAACAAAUCUCAAUGCACCGACUGUUGCUCCUAUAAAUAUGUUUAAUCUUUUUAAAGAUCAAAUACAAAAACCGUUGGCUCUUCUAGAUGAUAAAAAAAUUAGUAAAGUCACUCAACAAGUCAAUAUGAUAGUUACAUACAAUUCCAAUUUCCUUUCUUCUUACUCAAAAUCAGUUCUUGAACCCUUGUCUAGAUAGAUCUUAGACACUGGUACAACCGAUCAUAUCAUUUGCAAUCUUUCUUUAUUUGCUAAAUCUUCAUCUAUCUCAAAUCUUUUUAUGUCUCUACCUAAUAGACAAUUUCAAGUUAAAGCCAUUGGUUCUGUACAACUUAAUUCCAAGAUUUUGUCACAGAAUGUUAUUUUUAUUCUAAGUUUCAGGUUCAAUAUGUUAUCAAUAAGUAAGCUUGUCACUGAACAAGAUGUUUCUAUUCUCUUUAUGCCUAAUCAGUCUUUCGUCCAGGACCACUUAACAUGGAUGAUUAUUGGGAAGGCUGAGGAAAGAAAUGGUUUCUUUUAUAUUGAGCAACAUAAUCACAUAAUUACAAUAUUUGCUAUGUUGUUGCAUCUUCAAACUCUUUUAACCUGUGGCAUAAUUGUUUAGGACAUCCUACAGAUAAAAGACUUAUGUAAUCCUUGUCUUACAUGCCCUAGAGCUAAACAAAAGAGGUUAGUUUUUCCUCAUAGUAGUACUAAUACCCUAGAGCUAAACAAAAGAGGUUAGUUUUUCCUCAUAGUAGUACUAUUUGCUCAAGACCUUUUAAACUAGUCCACAUGGAUGUAUAGGACCUUACUCAUAAAAGGACAUUAAUAACAAUCAUUAUUUUUGACAAUAGUGGAUGAUCUUUCUAGAUGUAUACGGACUUAUUUCAUGAAAUCUAAAUUUAAAGUGUCUUUAAUUAUUCCUCAAUUUCACAAACUCAUGCACAUAUAAUUCAAAAUUGAUAUCAAGCAAAUUAGAACAGAUAAUGAACUAAGUUCAAAUUAUAAAAUUGUUAUUUUAAUACUAUAAAAUUAUACUUUUAGCUGCACUGUUUAUACUAUAUGUUAUAACAUCAAAAUCAAAUACAACAAUUUUCAAACGGCUACCAUUAAUUUAUGUCUACAAUUUAAAUAUAUGGUAUCAAUUUGUAGCCGCUACUUUAGAUUCAUUUUCAUAAUAGUGAGUAUUUCUAAUAUUGGGCAAUGGAGUACUUCAUCUACUAACCCUGUAUCCAAAUUUUAUCAUGACAAUUGCAAAAUUAACAAAAUUUGCAGGAGUUGGCACACUCUGCAUAUAUCAAAAGAGCUACAAAACUUGUCUAAUAGAUCUGUUCUAUUUUUUCAAACAGAAUUGUCCAAAAUGGAUUAGAGAUAUGGCUAUUCUUGUGUUAAGGCCAAGCUAAAUUUAAUUGAAGAUUGACUUAAUUGAAUAUGCAUUACAAGUAUCAAAACAAUUUUCCUGAGAAAAUUCCUGCAUUACUGAUAUGGGAAACAAACACAGUCCUCUGCUUUGCAGGUCUAAUAGUCUGCCAUCAGUUUCCUGUCACAAAUCAGUUAAUCACAAUUUCAAAUUUACUCAAAUCGAUUGGGUGAUUAAUGAACAUUAAAGUUAGCAAAAUUAUGCAUUAGUUUCACAUGUAAAAUAUAGAAUUUUUAGUUCAUGCUUACCUGAAAGUGACAUGAACUACUCAGCAUCUGAAGCAAAUUCUGUCAAGGUAAUGAAAAAUAUUUUUAUAGAUAAAAUUUUUAAAAUAUAAAUUAUUUUACACAAAUAAACGGACACUAAACUCCACUGUGAUUAGAAGAGAGUUGUACCUUAAUCUGUUCUUGAAGGAGUUUGAUAUAAAGAGAAGCCUCUUGAAGAACAGAAGCAGUAUCUGUCUGCAAUUUUUUUUUAAAAAAAACCCUAAUUUAUUAGCUUUAAUAUAGGAGAAAAUAAUUAGCUCCACACAAGGAAUAGAAAAUCAAGAAAUAUAACCUUGCCAUAUGGAGAGACUAAUUUUUGAAGAGCUGUGAUUUUGUCAGCUAGCUUUUGGCUUCUCCUCACAGGCACCUGCAACUGCAACAACAGAAAAAAAAAGCCCUUCAAUCUUGAAAUCUGGUGGACAUUUUUGGUCAACAAGAACUUCUUAAUCUUCUUGUUGAUAUGUUAUCAUUUAUUGUUACCUUGUGAUCUUUAAUAUUGGUUGAUUGCUUAACUUGAUGAUCAAGCCAUUGUUCCUCAGAGGAAGAUGCCUUCCUUCUCUUGUCUUUCUUCCAUUCACUAAAAGCUGCUCUGUUUUCAAUUAAAUCUGUUAAAUCUGAGGUAACAACCUCAGUUGAUCUUUUCCUUCUUGUUGUGGAUUGAAAAUCCUGAAGGAACAAAAUAAAAUAAUAAUAAUAAUAAUUGAGUUUCUAUUAAAUAAUAAAAAUUUAAAAGAGGAAUAUUUGGGCCUCUAUUAAAUAAUAAAAGAAAAGGGUAUAGUUCAUACCAACUCUUGGGAAACGUUAGCCUUCUUGCUUAAUAUAAGAGAUUGUUGUGUAUUCUCCUCCCAGCUAGAGGAUGUAAACUGACAAUCUGACAAUAAAAUACAAAAAUUGGAAAUUUUAGUAGAAAAUCUCAAUUGGUUCAGCUCUCAUAUCUUUUUUUAUUUUUAAAGUAUAAAAAAUAGAUAAAAUUCCAAAUUAAGUUUUUUUAUUUAUUAAUUUUAAAUAUGCAUCUACAAAUUUUAAAUUUUCAUAUGGCAUCAAAAAUAAUAUCUCAAAAUCUCACAAGAUUGUAAAAUUUUUAAACGAUAGGCUUCUAAUAAAUUAAGCGACUUUGUCAAGGGACAUAUUAAAACCGUCGCUAAAUAGUCUAUUAAUAGUUAUAAAUUAGCAACAGAAUAUUUAUUUGUCACUAAUGCAUAUUAAUAGUGAUGAAUCUACAAAAUCCGUCUUAAACUUUUUUUUUUAUAGACAAAAUAUAAGUAUUCGAGAAUAAUUUAUCCUAUCUAUACCGAGUUAAUGUGAGAAUUCUCAAAUUACUAUAUGUUGGAAAUCUAUGCUCAACUUGUUUUGGAGUUAUAUUUGUAGCAAAUAGAAAUUCAUUAAACCUGAUUGGAAUUGUUGGUGAGGAAUAGCAAUGCUUUCACCUCUUAGUUGGUUGUCAUCAACUCUGGAAUCCAACCAAAAGCUAUUCAAAGACAACAUCAACUUUUCAAAAAUGGUAUACUAUAACAAAAAAAUAAACUCUUGGAAAGAGAUUGUAAUUAAUAAUAACAAUAAUAAUAAACACACGGAUAUGCAUGUAUCGGCGAUGGAAUUAAAUUAUAAAUUAAAAUAUGAGCGAUUUUCUUUUAUAUAUAUAAACACAAAGAUCGUAUAAGAAAAAAUAAUAAUAAUUAGCCGAAAUGCACACCUCUCCGUUGAAACAUCUAAAUUUGUAAUCUGAAUUUCAGUGUUCCCUACAAUAAAGGGUAAAAAAAAAUACAAAAUCAUAUAUCAAAUAAAACAAUUUCUCUAAUAUAUAUAUUUAGCAAUUUAAUUUUCAAGGAUAUAGCUUAGGACUAUUUAUAUUCAAGCCACAAAAUUUCAUAAACAUCAAAGAUCAGUAAUACUAAAACAAUUUUCAAGCCAUUAAUAAAUCUCAAGUUCGAGUAAUAGUGAGAGCCAAAUAUACCGAAAUUAUAAAGCUGUAAAGGUACAGAUGGAAGAAUAGCAUUCCUCAUUUGAACCAAAUAAGAUUAAAUUCUUGGUGUAUAUUCAAAUUUCUGGCGAGAACAGAGAAGAGUAAUUAGAACCUAAUUAGUUGAAAAUAACAAGAAACUUUGAAAAAAAAAGGUCAUGGAUAAACUAAAAGAAGUUAGAGAAUACCUUAAGCUUUUGCUGGGCAGACAAUGAAGAACUUUAACAAAAGAUAUCCUUUGAGAAGAGAGUUUACAAGGUUUCUUCUGAGUGUAAGAACUGUUCUGAUCUGUGUGUUUUCCUUUGAAAAAGAGAGUAGUUUUGAGGAUAAAGCUAACCCAUUUAAUUAUAUUAUAUAUAUUAAUUGCAUGAAAGGUCAAGGAAAAUGAAAGGUCCAAAAAAUGACUUAUUACAAGACAGAAAAUGGCUUUUUUAUGAUGUUUAUAUACGUAAGAUGCAUGGUCGGCUUUCUCUAACUGGCAAAUUAUCUGUUUCAUUUCGCUUUCAUUCUUUAUUUUAUUUAGUUGAAUAUUUAGGUUAUUUUCAUUAAUCAUUAUGUUUAAUUUCACCAAGUAAUCAUAAUGUCAACAAUGACUCUUGUGCUUAUAAGAUGAAGUUUAAUUUAGUUCUUUUUUUUUUUUUUCUAAAUUAGUCUAGAAAUUUCAAUUUAAGUUAGAUUUAGUCAAAUUAAUAUUUUUAUUUUUAUAUUAAAUCAAAAUAUCAACCACUCUAAAAAAAUUAGACUUUAAACCAAAAAAAAACAUGUGAAAGGUAUGUAAAAGGUUUGCCGCUAAAUGAUCGUGAUAUGGAGCAAUUAGCCUUCAAUUUUAUGAUAAAUUUGGACCGGAUCUAACUUUUACUGCCGAUAUCCGAUAGAGACUCACGAUAACUUUUCGAAAAAGAAAUUUCGAGUCACACAACUUUCAAAAGUGUGACGAGGGCCGCAAGUCUGUCACGAAAUUCGAUAUAAAAAUUAUAUCAUUUAGAUGAUAAAUUUUACAUUUUAAUUAUUUUUUAGAUAUUUUAGAUAUUUUCAUAAUUUUAUAUAUUAAAACUUUAUUUUCUAUUAAAAUUCACUUUUUAAUUUUGGAAGAAAUUUCAAUAAGCUUUUAGUUUACUAAUCUAUUUUUUCUCUUAUUUUAUUUUAAUAAACGAUAUUGAUUAAAACUCUUGAUGGAGUCUAAACAGUUCUUUAUCAAAUCACAUAUAGAAAAAUAUUCAAUUAUUUUUAAUAAAAAAAUCUAUUAAAUUGAAUUAAUUUAAUAAUUUUAUUUUAUUUUUUAAUCUUUUUUAAUUCGAUUUGAUAAAAAAAAAUUGUCAUACCUAUCCAUAUCAAUAAUUUAAAAUAUAAAAAUGAGUUGACAAUUAAAAGGUAGGGUUCAUCAGAAAAUGCAGCAUUUCUACUUGUCUUGUAUAAGCAUGUUCAUUUAUUACACGUACGUGUCCAUGUCUAAAGUAAUGUUUCUAAAUCUCUCCUCUUUAAUUACUUCAAUGUUUAAUCUCCAGAUUCGGCAGCCUUAAUUUCUCUGUUUCUAUAUACUUAGUUAAAUUAAUCAUAAAUGCCUAUCGUGAUGACAUGUGGAAUCCAUACAGUAGCCAAUUUAUUAAAGCACCUCCGACUUCUUAUUUAAUUUCCUAAUAAUUCUUUUUCCCUUUUUCAUUUUCCUUUUAUUCACUUAAUUUUAGAGAUUCUAAAAUUUAAUCUUUUGUAUUUUGAGUAAUUGUAGAGAAUUAACUAAUCCCUUAUCUGUUUUGUUAUUUUUUAUAUAACAAAAAUCUUAUUUAUCAAUUGAUUUCUCCAUUUCAUAAUUGAAUUUCACCUAAUUCAUUUUGAAUUUUAAAUUAUUUUAAUCUCAUAUUUUUUAAGUUAAUUUUUAAAAUAGUAAUUAUUUCAAAUUUAAAAUUGAUUCAGGAUCAAUUAUCAAAUCAUUGUGCAAGAGAACUUUGAAUCAAAUUUCAAAUCAAUUUAUUAAUUUUGCAAAAAAAUCUUUAUUAAUUAUAUUCUGUUUAUAUAUUUCGUAGAAAAUUACUUUUGUUUAAAAAAUAUUUUUAAUAUUUCAUUUUUAUUUGCAACGUUUAAAAAUAAAUUAUGUCUUAAUAAGACUUACGCAUAUUAAUAAAAUUUUUAAGAAAUAGAAAAUGAUUUUUUUUUUAAAAAAAAUAAAGUUGUCAUGUAAAUAGCCACACGAUGAGAGCUGAUGAGAAGUUAAACUCUUGUCUUGUAGUUGCAAAGCAAGAAUCUAAAAUGAGUAAGCAGCAUAAGUUCAAAUGCAUUUCAAAAUCACAAGUCAAUGGCUUUAGUUUGUCAAUUAGGGUUUGUAGUCUUUGAAAUUUUCUUCUUCUAUUUUGACUUCUCACACCUAAAUAUGAUAUUUUUAAAGCUUAAUGUCUGUAUAUGCGUGGUCCUAUGACAUUAUCCUCCCAUAUUAUUAACAUGUGAAUAUGUAGGGUGAGCAUUCGGUCGGUUCGGUUUAAAAUCGAAUCAAAUUGAAUAAAUCGAAAAUUGAAAUUUUAGUAUUUAUAAAAAUCGAACCGAACUGAAUCGAUUUUUAUUAGAAACUGAAUCGAACCAAACUGGUCUGAUUCAGUUUAAUCAGUUUCGAUUUUUAAUAAUUUUUUUAUUUUUUAUAUUUUAAAGUUUAAUUAAAAUAUUUUAAUCUUAAUAUAAUUUAAUUUCUCUAUGUUAUUAAAAAUAAUAUAAUAUUAUCACUAAUCGAUUCGGUUCGGUUUUUUCGAUUUUUUAUGAUCAAAAUCGAACCGAACCGAAAUAAUUGAAAUUUUUAAAAUUAAAAACCGAACCGAAUUGAAUAAAAAAUCAAACCAAAUUUUAAAAUUAAUUCAAUUUGAUCGAUUUUUUCGGUUUGAACUGCUCAGUCCUAUGAAUAUGCAAACUCAAAAUAGUCAUUAUUAUAAAUUUCAUUUCAUUCAAUUAAAUUUCACCUCGAUGUAAAAUAGAGUAAUUAGGGCUGUGCAAUAGGUCGGUUCGAUUUUGAACCGAACUGAAUUGAAAAAAUCAAAAAUCGAAUUGUAAAAAUAUUAAAAACCAAAAAAAUCAAUUAUAAAAAUAUAAUCAAACCGAAUCGAACAGAUAAAAAUCAGUUCGGUUCAAUUCAGUUUGAUUCAAACUAAAAUCUGUAAUUUUUUUUGAAUUUUCUGGUUUUAAUUUCAGUAGAAUAAUUUAAUAAAUAUUUCACAUAAAUUUACCAAUAAAUAUUGUCUGAAUACAUAAUGAUAAUAUUUAAAAAAUCAUAAAAAUCUAUGUAAAAUUUAAAAAUACAUAUAAAAUUAAUAAAAGUAUAUAUAAAAUCGGUUUUUCGAUUAUUUAAUACGUUUAAAUCAAAUCGAACCGAAAACCGAAUAAGUUGGAAAAUACUAACUGAACCGAACCAAAUAUUUUGAUUAAUCGAACUAUUAAACCGAAAUUGAUCGGUUCGGCUUGGUUUUUUGGUUCAAACCGAUUUAUGCUCUCCCCUAAGAGUAAUACCCUUUAUAUUAGGGUAAAUAUUUAGUUGAUUUAAUUUAAAAUCAAAUCGAAUCAAAUAAAUUAAAAAUUAAAAUUUUAAUAUUUAUAAAAAUCAAACCGAAUUGAUUUUAAUCAAAAAAUCAAAUUGAAUCGGUCAGAUUCAAUUUGAUUUGAUCAGUUUGAACUUUUAAUAAAUUUUUUAUUUUUUACACUUUAUUUUUACUAUUUUAAAAUUUAAUUAAAAUAUUUUAAUUUUAAUAUGAUCUAAUUUCUAUAUUAUUAAAAAUAAUAUAUUAUUAUCAUUAAUCGAUUCAAUUUGAUUUUUUUAAUUUUUUAUCACCAAAAUCAAAAUGAAUUGAAAUAACUAAAAUUUUUAAAAUUAAAAAUUAAAUCAAAUCGAAAUGAAUAAAAAACUGAACUGAAUUUUUAAAUUAAUUUGAUUCAAUCGAUUUUUUCGGUUUGAACCGAAUACUGCUCACCUUUAUCUCGUACAAGAGUCUUAGUCACUCUUCUCUAUUGAGUUGCUUUUGGGAUAAACUAGAUCUCAUCCAAAUUUAAUAUGAUAUCAGAGUAUUCCACCGGUAUUUAAUUUUUCAUAACUAUGCCACGCUCCAGUAUAGUUCUACGCUCCAGUAUAGUUCUGAGUAUGAAGUGGUGUGUUAAAUUUACGUUUGACAUAUUAAAAAAUAAUUUAUUUUAAAUUUAAUAAAAUUAUUAUUUUAACUGCCCUCAAAUAAAUUGUGACUUGAGAUAAAUACAAUAAUUUUUAAACUAAGUGAAGUAUAUAAAAUAAUAAAAUUAUAUUACUGCCAUGAUAUUAAAAUUGAGAGGUUUUGGAUUUGAAAUUUUAAUUGAAAUAUAUAUAUUUGUGUAUAUGUAUGCGAUCAUGAUAUGCAGGCCAUUAGGCCACCAUUGACUAUAGGGUUGUAAAAUAUAUACUGUCGAUUCACAUAUUGCAUCUCAUGAUUAAUUUUAUGAUUAAAGACCUUGUGUUGAUUAAUAACUGUGUUUAUUAGAGGAUGCUUAAUAUUUUAUAUAGGGACGGACCUCAAAUUUAAAAAAUAAAACAUCUUUUAUUUUAAGUAAAUUUCACAUGUCCAAGCAUUCUUUUUUAAAAAUUAAAUUAAAAAUAUUUCCAUAUAAAUUAAAAUUUUAAGGGAGUUUCACGAGAGCCGGACAAAUAAACAAACAAGAUGAAAAAUCCUUAACCUAACCAAUUUUAAUUUAUCCCUUGGUGGUGAAGUUGAAUUAGGUAUAUCUUCCUACUGGUUUUGGAAUUGGUGGCUCUAGUUUAUCAAGGAUAUAUUUUCUGAAACUUUGUAGCACCUUCAAUUUCAAAAAUCUCAAAAACUCAAAUUUUAAUAGCAAAUUAUUAAUUAUUUUAAUUUAAAUAAUUAUAUAAUUAAAAAUUUAUUAUUUCAAAAAUAAAAAAUUAGUUGAUAUCAAAAUAUUAUAUAAAAUUUAUAUCCCUAAAAGUUUAAAAUAAAUAUAAACCUAUUAAUUAGUAAAAUUAACAAUUAAAAGUACAUGAAAGUCAGAGAUUUGCAAAACAAUAAAGUAAAUAUAUCAAGAAAAUAGUAGAUUUAAAUUCACCAAGUUAAAAUUUACUUGAGAGUUUAGAUCAUUAUACAAAACAAAUUUUACAUUUUUUUUUUUAACAAAGCAAAAUCAUUGCAAUUUGUCAUGAACCAGUAGAUAAAGUGCGCAAAUUACGACAAAAAAAAAGAAAAACCAGACUAUGACCUAGAAAUUAUAAGAAUCUAAAUUCAGAAACAAGCCCAAGUCCAUUGCCAAAAAAGUUGCAAAUCAUGACAACCGCAUAAAAGUAAAAAAAAAUCAAAUUGAUUACCGGAUAGUAUUUUAUCGGAUAAUAAAACAGUACAAAUCAGAAAAUAGGUCCGACCACCACUUCAAGAGACCAACUUUAAGUGUUGGGCAGCACUCCAACAAAUUAGGUCAGACGACUUUAUAGGUCAAACACUACUUCAAAAAUAUAAAAUUGAAUUGAUAUUUUAGAAAACUUAUUUUUAUUUAUAUGUCAGCUACAUAAAAAUAGCGUAAGAAUUUUUUCUCUUCUAAUUUAUAUAUUUUUUGUUCUAACAACAAUUGUAUAUUAUAACGCGUGUCUUUUUAAAAUAGUCGAUAGAACUAUAUAUAAACAUAUUCUUUCUAAAUAAAAAUUGAGUAAGUAUUGUUUCAAUCUCUGUAUUCCGAUUAAGUCUUUUUAUUAUAUGGUAUCAAAGCAUAUUUGUUCUAUAUUUCUUUUCUAAUUCUACUUUUUUUUCUUCGUUGGCAGAAGAAUUAUCCAGAGAGAUAAUUAUAUGAAAGUGAUUUUUUGAGUCUUCAAAAUUGAGAUAAAACCAAUGACAAAUAAGUAGACAAAUGAGUUGGGCGAAUGAAUGAGUUGGGCGAAUCUAAUCCAGCGGAAAGUGAUAAAAUAAAUGAAGAAGCCUGAAAGCCUGACUACUUGCUUGCUGUUUCUCUCCCUGGCUUUAUUAAUAAAUUUUAAAUUUGAAUGGCACAAUGAAUAAAAAGCAAAAAUAUAUUAUAAUAGUAGAAGAACGAAAAGAGCAAAAAUACAAAUUUUAAAAACUUUUGUAUAAUGUGUAAAUAUAAUGUCUGAAUAAUUAAUUUUAAUUAAACUUUUGUAUUCAUUUAAGAUAAAAUAAUUUUGGUGCUUCAAUUUAAAAUAAAUAAAUAAAUAUAUUAUAUUACAAAUUAUUAAGUGUCAACAAAAAAUUUAAGGAGCUAAUUAACAAAAAGUAUAAUUUAUUAUACAUAUUUAAUAUAUCUUUUAUAAAAUUAAGGAGUCAAUAAAAAAUUAUAAAAGAUCUUUUUUAUCACAAAAUUCCUUUAAAUUCAUAUAAAUCAUCUCAAAGAUUGUGGGUUGAGAAGACGUAGAGAUCAUCCCGGGCUGAUACUGAGGCCAAGCCCAUGGCUUCAAAUAAACCCUAGGGAAAGGGUAAUAUAGUAAAUCCACCUUGUUCCUAACCGUAUAAAUACUAGGGUUUUCUGUCUUCGAAUUUCUCUCAAAACCCUAGCUCUCUGUUUUCGUUUGCUUUGAGGCGCCUCUGCAGGUCCUUCUCUGCUUCUACUGUGGUAUGUAUCUCCCAUAUCUUGUGUUUGCUUUCUGCGAAAAAGAAAACAAGACUAAUGUAGCGCUCUUAAGGCUUUAGUAGAAAAUUUCUCUUGGAUUAUAAUAUGAUUGAUUCAUAAUAACUGAAUAGAUUUUUUUUCAUUUCUUUUCGUACUGUAGGCAUUGUGAUCUGUUAGAUAUUACAUGGAAAAACGGCAUUGACAAAUUUGUUUAUCUGUUGAUGUAACUUGGAAUGUUGGAACACACUGACCUAAGAGAACUUUCAAAAACAAUUCUGUAAAUUUGAUUUAAAGUGACAAAAUGAUUCCAAGUGAAACAUCCACUGCCACCGCACACACCUUAAUUAUAAGUUAUAGUAAUCAAAGUCCUGAAACAACCACUGAGGCUCUUAAAUUGUUCAAAUCAUUACAAGUCUGGUGAACCUUUUGCAUUAAACUGAUACCAAAUCCACUGGAAAGUUCCUCAUUUAUGUAAUCUCUAUUAGUGAAAGUUUCUCAUUCUUCUAAUCUUUUACUAGUGAAAAUUUCCUAUUCUUGCAAUCUGUACUUGACCAGUUANNNNNNNNNNNNNNNNNNNNNNNNNNNNNNNNNNNNNNNNNNNNNNNNNNNNNNNNNNNNNNNNNNNNNNNNNNNNNNNNNNNNNNNNNNNNNNNNNNNNNNNNNNNNNNNNNNNNNNNNNNNNNNNNNNNNNNNNNNNNNNNNNNNNNNNNNNNNNNNNNNNNNNNNNNNNNNNNNNNNNNNNNNNNNNNNNNNNNNNNNNNNNNNNNNNNNNNNNNNNNNNNNNNNNNNNNNNNNNNNNNNNNNNNNNNNNNNNNNNNNNNNNNNNNNNNNNNNNNNNNNNNNNNNNNNNNNNNNNNNNNNNNNNNNNNNNNNNNNNNNNNNNNNNNNNNNNNNNNNNNNNNNNNNNNNNNNNNNNNNNNNNNNNNNNNNNNNNNNNNNNNNNNNAUCAAUAUUUAUGGUCACUGAGCUCUAGAUUGCCUUAGUUUACUUCAAUUUUUUUUUGGGUUGGGGGAGGGGAUGUAUAAUUUCCCUCUCUUUAGAUAACUUUAUUUUUUGAAGAUAAUUAAACUAGAAAUAUUGGCUUACUUCUCAAAAUACCUGUUUCAGCGACAAUGGUGAGAGUUAGUGUUUUGAAUGAUGCUUUGAAGAGCAUGUACAAUGCUGAAAAGCGUGGUAAGCGCCAGGUCAUGAUAAGGCCGUCAUCAAAAGUGAUCAUCAAAUUUCUGUUGGUGAUGCAGAAGCACGGUAUUGUUUUGUUUGACCUGUGUUCUUUUUCAUUUUUUUCCCUUGAAAAUUCUUAAACUUACACUGAUUUUUUUAUCAUUUUCUCUAUGUUUCUGGUAUAUAGGAUACAUUGGUGAGUUUGAAUAUGUUGAUGACCACAGGGCUGGUAAAAUUGUGGUUGAAUUGAAUGGAAGGUUGAACAAGUGUGGAGUUAUAAGUCCUCGAUUUGAUAUUGGUGUCAAGGAGAUUGAAGGAUGGACUGCCAGAUUGCUCCCCUCUAGACAGGUGAACACAAAAACCUCUAAAUUGAGGAAUACUUGCAUGAAUACAUGAUAUAAGUUUCCUUUACCACGAAUAUCAAGCAAUGGUGAUGACACAAAUAUAAUCUCUAGAUCUAGUUAGUGUCCAGGGCAAGUACAACUCAUUUGCUUGCAUAAUGUUUACAUCAACUUCAAUCGUAUUAUGAUAUGUGCUUGAAUCUUUUUUGCACACUUGUUUGUAGGCAUUAUUUAUGUCAAGUACUUAAAUAGAUAUCUGUGGUUUCUGGUAUUGACAUAAUAAAUGAUUUUAAACUUGCAGUUUGGUUAUAUUGUGUUGACAACUUCUGCUGGCAUUAUGGACCAUGAAGAGGCUAGAAGAAAGAAUGUUGGUGGCAAAGUGCUUGGAUUCUUUUACUAGACUUAGAUUUUACUUCAUUUCCCCUUUUGAAUGACUAUUUUUGCUUACGAGGAGAUUUUGGUCGUACUUUUGAACUUCUUUACUAUAGGAUCAGAUUGUUGUUUUUUGCCCUCUGUUUGUGCCAUCUUCAAAAGGCUAGUGUUUGUGCCUGAUUGCGUGAAUUAAAGACUGAUGUUUUUUUUUGUAGCUCACAUUUUAUUUAAAAAUGGCAACAUUUAUUGAAGUGAUGUCUACUGGACUCGAUUUGAUAUUGCUGUUGACUCUUGCUCCAUUCUAUGAUGUUGCCUGGUUUAGUCCUUGAUCUGAAGCUUGGCAUUUGCCCUUUUCGGACUGGGUAAAUAAGGGGUUUGUUCGAAUUCCAAUCUCAUAUAGAAUGGCUGUCUUUCUCCAUUAACAAAUCUGUGCAUACGAAUAAAGCAAGUGCUUUCAGAGCAAUUCAUUUUUUGUUUGACUGCAAGUCAACUGGUACAAAUGCUACAGAUUUUAGUGCGAUUACUAAUUUGAAGUGAUGUGAAGCCGCUUUAACCAAGGGUUAAGAAUACUAAGCAACCUCGUUGUGUGCCUACGUAUGAGAACUUUUAAUUAGCGAGACUGAAAUUCUAUUUUAUUUUAUUUUUAGUUAUUUUAGCACACUAUUCUGUAGUGCUUUCUCAAAGGUUGCAAGAGAUUCCUGGGCUUUGCCAAGCCAACUUUCUUGUUAGAUUACAUCUUUAAAUUGCCUCUUGAUUGAAAUGACUAUAAGUGCUGAAAUCAUGCGAGCUUUCUUUUGGAAGCUGCAGCGGCCAGAUGUAGAGAGGGCAAUGGCCACUGUAUUGUAUCUGCAGAACAUUUUCUCCCAAUCCGAUUAAUAGUUUUAAUACAUGCGCGCAUUUCACAUCCUCAUAUAUUUAUAUAUAAAUUAUUAUUAUCAAAUAUAUUUGAACAAGUUUCGCUUUUUAUAUAAGGAAAAUGAAUUCUAUUUUAUUUCUUGGGAUAUUCAAAAUUAACUAGUUAUUCUUUGUGUUUUUAAAAUAUAUAAAUAAUUCUUAUAAUUUUGAAAAUUCAAUUAAAGGAUAUGUUACAUUAAGUUGAGUUUUCAAAAUUUUAUUUUUAAAAUAUAAGAAUUAAUCAUUUAGAUUCCCGAUAACACAUGAAUUAACCAGUAAUUUUUCGUCAUUGAAAGGGGAAUCAACAGAGGAAUUGCCUGCUGUCAAUGAGAUAAUGUGUCAAUCACCAAAAUAAAAUUUGUUCUCCAAGUGACCAUUUUCAUUCAAUGGUAUCCUAUUAGGUCUGCACUUUGUUAAGAGCACCAAUCAGAUCAGUAGAAACUUCAUCUUGUAUGGUCCAAAGUUGGGCAGUAAAUGAAUGACACAAGCCUUGCAUAUAUUGUACUGGUAGUUCAGAUUUGACAGAGAUAAAACCAUCCUCCAUUAUUUUAUCUUAUUAGUUUUAAGCAAGGAAUAAAAAUGAAAUAUCCCAGUUGAACAUGAGCUGUGAUUUCACUAGCCGGCUAGAUUUCUCUGAUUUUACAGAAGAAAUUUCUCUCAAGAAAUGAAGUUAAACAUGAGACAUUGAUUAAUGAACAAAACUAAGAUCCAUCAACAAUGAACAAGUUCAUCAUCAACAAACUAACAAGAAAAGAAAUCAAAGACAAUAUAUAAAAAUACAUAAAUAUUUUCCCCAUUAAAAAAGCAUGAUACACAUGAAAUAUGUGGAGCAAUAUUCAUACUGAUAACAUUGCCAAAGGAUCAUAGUUGCCCUAAUGGUAUAAAAACCAUCAUGACCUUAAUUCUACAUACAACUAACCCUUCUCUUCAUUUUCGAUAUCAUCCCCGCCUUUGCCGGUGGUCGGGGAAGAGCGUCCAGCCCAUCAGACCGAAUGGGAGGGAUAGAAAUAUAGCUGUAUUAUAGAGGGGAUGUAUAUAUCCCCAACUCUUCAUCCCUCCAAGGGCUUCAAGUGUGAGAAGUUGGUGUUUUAUGUGAGUUUUUGUAGUAGGAAUAAUGAUGUGGAUGAGAGUAUCUUCUAAGCAUAUGCUUUGAAGAAGCAUAACUUUUUUUUUGCAUUUGUUUUUUUUGUCCACUUUUUGCUUUUUCUUGUUAAUAAUUAUUUGAGGAAGACAUUAAAGGCAAUAUGUGAGGAAUCUACCAAAAAUAUUCUGGUUACAUAAGCUAGUGCUUUGCUUUCUCUGGUCAUUUCUGUGUUACUCAGCUUCAUCUGGC